AAUUGGAGAUACUACAAUGGAAAACAAAUUCUCCAAUUGCCUGAGUCAAAAGCUUUCCGGAAAGAGAAGAUUGCUAUGGUGAUCAUUGUUGUGGUUUGCCGGGAACCGUCAGAUAACAGCAUUCCACACCAUCAUUGCACCUGGCCAUGGGUUCUUUUUGCCUCAGGUUUUUGAACAUUCAGACAGAGCUUAGCCGUGCCUCCCCUACUUCCUGAUGGACCCUUUCAUUAUUUCCUUCCAUUACAAAACCUUGGGAAUUUCUGUUUUGCCAGAAGAUUCUGAGGGGUAUCCAAUAUCCUUUACUAAAAUCCUCUCCUGCUGAUGCCUAGCAGAGCUGGGGUUAUCACUUACAACUAAGAACUCCGACUGAUAUGGUUCUGAGGUCCAAUCUAACUGGAAAGUAAAGAAAGAGUUCAUCAUAUAACUGCUGUUGAGAAACAAAGACUGUGCCCUUGGACUGCAUUGUUGGAAAUCUGAGCAUGGUAGCACAGACAUAUUAUCACUUACAAUUUCUACAGAGAAGAAAUUUGAGAGUCAGAGACAAAGUGAACUGCCCAGAAAGACAAAAUUCACUGCCACAGAGGUAGAGGUGGACUGGCAUUCAGCAUUCUUGUGUCUUGAACUCUCCUUCCCUCUACAGUAAUGUUCUCAACCAUCCGGACUCCUGGUGUUCUCAAGCCACCCAUUUCUCUUACUUUGGCAAAACUUCCUCAUUAUUAUGAAACGUGAAAGAUAAAAAUGAGAAAAAUCACAUGAAAUCUGCUCUCGGCUUAACAAAUAACAAGGCCCAUUCUAACCUGUGUGCUUCUGGCAUCAGUCACACAAACGGAAACUGAUCUGACUGUAAGAAGGGGCCAAGGAUGAAGGAGCGAAAAGAGCGCCUUUUCUCAACACUGGUUUGAAAGUAAAAGUUGAAAGGGGAAAGACGCCUGACUCAGCGCUCCGGCAACCCCCUGCCGGGCUGUGCUGCUGACCGCGCCCCUCGCCCAGCAGGACUGCGGCUGCGGCUGCCCCGGGAGCGACCCGGCUCCGCAGCCCAGCUACGGGGUCAGCGCGAGAGCAGCACGCCGAGAGCCGGCGGGCUGCCUCCGGCCCCUCCCCGGCAGAGGCCCCAGGAGCGCCUCCGCCUCGCGCGCAUGCCCAGCCGGAGGGCGCCCGCGGAGCCGCGCGCCCGGCCCGGAUCCCCG
This 1187-nucleotide long non-coding RNA is filed under the name Equus caballus (horse). RNAcentral's name for it is "lncRNA (ENSECAG00000045975.1)". Lineage: Eukaryota; Metazoa; Chordata; Mammalia; Perissodactyla; Equidae. The record is from RNAcentral.